UGAGGAAUAUUGGUCAAUGGGCGAGAGCCUGAACCAGCCAAGUCGCGUGAGGGAAGACGGUCCUACGGAUUGUAAACCUCUUUUGUCGGGGAGCAAUAAAGCGUACGCGUACGCAGAUGCGAGUACCCGAAGAAAAAGCAUCGGCUAACUCCGUGCCAGCAGCCGCGGUAAUACGGAGGAUGCGAGCGUUAUCCGGAUUUAUUGGGUUUAAAGGGUGCGCAGGCGGAAAGUGCAAGUCAGCGGUCAAACGACGGGGCUCAACCCCGUCUCGCCGUUGAAACUGUCUUUCUAGAGUGAGCGAGAAGCAGGCGGAAUGCGUGGUGUAGCGGUGAAAUGCAUAGAUAUCACGCAGAACCCCGAUUGCGAAGGCAGCCUGCCGGCGCUCAACUGACGCUGAGGCACGAAAGAUGCGGGGAUCGAACAGGGUUAGAUACC
RNAcentral lists this ribosomal RNA (435 nucleotides) under uncultured bacterium. RNAcentral describes it as "bacterial SSU rRNA". It matches the Rfam family "Bacterial small subunit ribosomal RNA", at positions 355 to 786 of the family's 1533-position model. The record is from RNAcentral.